Talpa occidentalis (Iberian mole) is the source of this 157-nucleotide small nuclear RNA. RefSeq annotates it as U1 spliceosomal RNA. The record is from RefSeq and is a predicted model, not a curated record. The transcript has a single exon. Lineage: Eukaryota; Metazoa; Chordata; Mammalia; Eulipotyphla; Talpidae.
AUACUUACCUGACAGGGAAGACAAGAUCAGGUAGUUGUUUUUCUGGGAAGAGGUUGAUUCAUUGCACUAUGGAUGUGUUGACCUCUGAUUCCCCCAGGUAUGGGAAACUUUACUGCUAAUUUGUGAUAGUGGGGAAGGCAGGUUCCUUACCUCCCCU